CUUGGUGAAGUGGAUGAUCCUAUGCUGCCGAGAAAAGCCUCUAGUGAGUGUUGUGGCGGCCCGUACCCUAAACCGACUCAGGUGGUCAGGUAGAGAAUACCAAGGCGAUCGGGUGAACUGUGGUUAAGGAACUCGGCAAAUUGCCCCCGUAACUUCGGGAGAAGGGGGACCUCUGCUGGUGAUGGGCUUUACGUUCUGAGCUGGUGGGGGUCGCAGUGGCCAGGGGGAAGCGACUGUUUACUAAAAACACAGGUCCGUGCGAAGUCGUAAGACGAUGUAUACGGACUGACGCCUGCCCGGUGCCGGAACGUUAAGGGGACCGCUUAGCCAACGCGAGUUGGCGAAGGUGAGAACUUAAGCGCCGGUAAACGGCGGUGGUAACUAUAACCAUCCUAAGGUAGCGAAAUUCCUUGUCGGGUAAGUUCCGACCUGCACGAAUGGCGUAACGACUUCCCCGCUGUCUCAACCACAGACCCGGCGAAAUUGCACUACGAGUAAAGAUGCUCGUUUCGCGCAGCAGGACGGAAAGACCCCGGGACCUUCACUACAGCUUGACAUUGGCGUUUGGAACGUCUUGUGUAGGAUAGGUGGGAGACUGGGAAGCUGUCACGCUAGUGAUGGUGGAGUCAUUGGUGAAAUACCACUCUGGUCGUUUUGAACGUCUAACUCUGGUCCGUGAUCCGGAUCGGGGACAGUGUCUGGUGGGUAGUUUAACUGGGGCGGUUGCCUCCUAAAGAGUAACGGAGGCGCCCAAAGGUUCCCUCAGCCUGGUUGGCAAUCAGGUGUUGAGUGUAAGUGCACAAGGGAGCUUGACUGUGAGACUGACAGGUCGAGCAGGAGCGAAAGCUGGGACUAGUGAUCCGGCAUCGGCGUGUGGAAGCGGUGUCGCUCAACUGCUAAAAGGUACCCCGGGGAUAACAGGCUGAUCUUCCCCAAGAGUCCAUAUCGACGGGAUGGUUUGGCACCUCGAUGUCGGCUCGUCGCAUCCUGGGGCUGGAGUAGGUCCCAAGGGUUGGGCUGUUCGCCCAUUAAAGCGGUACGCGAGCUGGGUUUAGAACGUCGCGAGACAGUUCGGUCCCUAUCCGCUGCGCGCGCAGGAGACUUGAAGGGGGCUGUCCCUAGUACGAGAGGACCGGGACGGACGAACCUCUGGUGUGCCAGUUGUACCGCCAGGUGCACGGCUGGUUGGCUACGUUCGGAAGGGAUAACCGCUGAAAGCAUCUAAGCGGGAAGCUCGCCUUGAGAUGAGGUCUCCCACCCCGUGAGGGGGUAAGGCUCCCGGUAGAUCACCGGGUUGAUAGGCCGGAGGUGGAAGCACGGUAACGUGUGGAGCUGACCGGUACUAAUAGGCCGAGGACUUGACCAC
Molecule: ribosomal RNA, 1366 nt
Filed under: metagenome
Description: bacterial LSU rRNA
Rfam family: Bacterial large subunit ribosomal RNA
Source: RNAcentral